GAAGCAAACCGUACAUCGAUUCAAGUACUUUGGACCUCAUUCCCUGACGACCUUUAACCUGGAAUGACACUUCCUGUGACAAAUAACCACCAGUAAACAAUUCAUUUAUAAAGAUGGACAUUAAAACUUUUAUUUUAUUUAAUAACAUUUUCCCGGCCACAACAAUAAAAUUUAACAAAUAAUCACUAAAAAAAAAAAAAAAAAAGUGUGACCUUCCAUUAGCUGUACAUUACAUACACUAUAGUAAAACUGACCAAGCUUAAAACCCACUACAACAUUCAUGUAGUGCUUCCAGCAGCAUUUCACCAAAGACAAAGACAUUAUACAUAUGUACAUCGUACGUGGCUGUGGUACAGAGUACUAACAUCUAUCAACGUUGUUGCACGGUUCAAGAUUCUGUUUUCUUACUUCCUUCUUCUGAAAGUUGUGUAGUAGAACUCUAGAGACUGUCUUCUAAAAGUUGUGUAGUCGAACUCUAGAGACUGUCUUCUGAAAGUUGUGUAGUAGAACUCGAGAGUCUUCUAAAAGUUGUGUAGUAGAACUCUAGAGACUGUCUUCUAAAAGUUGUGUAGUAGAACUCUCGAGAGUCUUCUAAAAGUUGUGUAGUAGAACUCUAGAGACUGUCUUCUAAAAGUUGUGUAGUCGAACUCUAGAGACUGUCUUCUAAAAGUUGUGUAGUAGAACUAGAGACUGUCUUCUAAAAGUUGUGUAGUAGAGCUCUAGAGACAGUCUUCUAAAAGUUGUGUAGUAGAACUAGAGACUGUCUUCUAAAAGUUGUGUAGUAGAACUCUAGAGACUGUCUUCUAAAAAUUGUGUAGUAGAACUCUAGAGACUGUCUUCUAAAAGUUGUGUAGUAGAACUAGAGACUGUCUUCUAAAAGUUGUGUAGUAGAACUAGAGACUGUCUUCUAAAAGUUGUGUAGUAGAACUCUAGAGACUGUCUUCUAAAAGUUGUGUAGUAGAACUAGAGACUGUCUUCUAAAAGUUGUGUAGUAGAGCUCUAGAGAGUCUUCUAAAAGUUGUGUAGUAGAACUAGAGACUGUCUUCUAAAAGUUGUGUAGUAGAACUCUAGAGACUGUCUUCUAAAAGUUGUGUAGUCGAACUAGAGACUGUCUUCUAAAAGUUGUGUAGUAGAGCUCUCGAGAGUCUUCUAAAAGUUGUGUAGUAGAACUCUAGAGACUGUCUUCUAAAAGUUGUGUAGUAGAACUCUAGAGACUGUCUUCUAAAAGUUGUGUAGUAGAACUCUAGAGACUGUCUUCUAAAAGUUGUGUAGUAGAACUCUAGAGACUGUCUUCUAAAAGUUGUGUAGUAGAACUCUAGAGACUGUCUUCUAAAAGUUGUGUAGUAGAACUCUAGAGACUGUCUUCUAAAAGUUGUGUAGUAGAACUCUAGAGACUGUCUUCUAAAAGUUGUGUAGUAGAGCUCCCGAGACAGUCAAGAGUUAAAAUUCUUACAAGUAGCAAAAAAAAGUAUUUAAAAAUUAUUUUUUUUAAAUUCUAAACAUUUACAAUAUAGUCAAAUGCUUGAUUCUGCCACAGCUAUGUUACCUUACCGUGGAGUAGCACAUUGGGCUGACUGACACACCAACUAUAGACUGCAGAUUGUGAUAGGACAGUUGACACUGCACUGAAAAGAAGCUACAUCCAACCGUGUGGAGCACACAGAGGUUUGGAGUUGUGCUACGACGUUCAGACAGUGGUGUAAUAAAAUAAACACUGUACUCCAUCUCCCUACUUCCUUCUCAGCUGAAGACAAGCAUUCUCCAGACAGAUAGAUAGAUAUGGCCCUUGAAUGACCAAAAGUGGUUUGAGUGCCUUAUUUUUUUACUCAGAAAAAUAAGAGUCAAAAUCCACUGGCUUCAUUUCCUCAUAGCCACAAACGUAGAAAGAAAUGCACUUUGGUAUGUAACCAAAUGCCCUGGGUUAUUCACAUCACAAUAAGAAGAGAUAUCUAUCACAACAGUCUGAGGUAAAGAUUCAAAUGUAUUUUUGUCCUUCUCUCUGGGAGUAAUAAAAUGAAGCUAACAGCUAUAACCCCUUGAAUUGUUUUGAUGUUAAGACAAGACAGAGGCUGUCAGUUCCUCAACCCUUUCAGAGCAUAAGGUGAUUGCUUCUUACUAAGCGUUCCCUGUUGGCAAAGGGUGUUUCCAGGUGAGAGUUAGUCAUCCCAAAAGAUCUGACGCUCUGUCUCGAAACUGCACGGCUGUUUCCCCGAAAUGGCACCCUAUUCCCUAUAUAGUGCACUACUUUUGACCAGAGCCCUAUCAAAAGUAGUGCACUAUAUAGGGAAUAGGGUGCCAUUGUGGAUGUAGCCCAUGUAAUACCUGUCAUUGUGCGGCCGCUUGGCUUUCUCCUCGCUACCACAUCAGAGGUUAAGCCAGGAAGACUGUCUUUGGGCUUGAAGAAAACAUCCAUGAAAAUGACUGUAAACAUUUCAAACAUCUGCGAAAUGGAUGUAUGUUCAGGGGAGAUGUGCUGUAGGGAGGUGUAGGGGAAUGAAGUCAUUAUGUUACUGGUCUUGGGUUACUAAAUGAAUGGCAUUAAUAACCAAAGGCACAUUGUAUUCGACCUAAGGACACGAUUCCUCCCGACUAUCAAUCCACAAAAUAACUACAAUAAAAAAAGUCAAAAGAACGUUGUGACCCCGCCCCCUGUCCCGCCCCUCCCCACUGAUGUUCUCCAAUCAGCAGGCGGCAAUGGGUUCCAAAGGGGGCGGGGCUACUGAGCAGUGUGCAGCUGGCAGGCACUGAACCAAUCAUCAGCGGGGCAGGCCGGGGCUCUACUCCCUGACCUGAUGAGGUCACCAGGUCGUCCAUCCAAUCCCCAGCCAGCCACACCUGUUCUGAACUCCAAUCAAACAGAGUCUUCUGCUCCGUGUCCUGGAGCCUCCAAUUAUCCACACAGUGACAGUCUGAUAGGAUCCCAUAGUAUAGUUCUUGUGCAUUAGGUCAUAAGUGGCUCCGUGGUUACCGACCGACCAACCAGACAACAACACAACAUUCUGUUCUAUUCAGCCCUAAGUUCAGUUUCAUAUCUUUUAGAUUGCCUCUUUUAUUUGACAAUAUUGUUUUAUGUGAAAUAAAUAAGUACAACUUUGACAAAAGCUUUAAAGAAGCCUUAGUGUGAUUUAUGGUUAACUAAUAAAAACCUUUGUCAAACACUAGAAAAUGUAGAAAAUCUGAAGGUUCAACACAUUUGGGGAAAAUGUUCAUUACUAGGUUUAGGAGUCUGUUUUACAGGUUGCCUUCCACAUAAAGCAAAGGGGAUAUGGGAACACUUUUUUUGGCUGUGCAAGGGAACAAGCGUUUUAGGAAUUUACACUCUGGCCAGAGACACGUAUCGGGUUCACUACUGAAAAUAUUAUUAAAGAAACGAACAUAUGAAAAAUAAAACUCUACAGUUGCAACAGUCAACAUGGUAUAAACUAAGCAAUUCAAAAAGCUACAUGAGUCAACCUUAAGUCCUGAUUAAUCAGAGUGCUUUAUAAUCACGUGUUAUAACACUAACUGCCUUUCACUACAACCCGGAGUAUUACUGAGACCACCCGGGCUCUGAAGAACUAUUCAGAAUUACUGAGACCAGCCGGGCUCUGAAGAGCUAUUCAGUAUUACUGAGACAACCCCAGGUUCUGAAGAACUAUUCAGUAUUACUGAGACAACCCCAGGCUCUGAGGAACACCUUCUAUUCAGUAUUACUGAGACAACCCCAGGCUCUGAGGAACACCUUCUAGUCAGUAUUACUGAGACAACCCCAGGCUCUGAGGAACACCUUCUAGUCAGUAUUACUGAGACAACCCCAGGCUCUGAGGAACACCUUCUAGUCAGUAUUACUGAGACAACCCCAGGCUCUGAGGAACACCUUCUAGUCAGUAUUACUGAGACAACCCCAGGCUCUGAAGAACACCUUCUAUUCAAGUAUAUGCAGUCAUGCCCAUGUAGUAAGCACCUCAUCGACCUACCAGCCCCUACCUACCCAGCCUGACCCUAGAUCAGUCUUUCAACACAGACACAGUCCUCUCUGAUGAGGACAUUAUAAUAUCCACAGUCCUUCAUCACAGACAUAGUCCUCUCUGAUGAGGACAUUAUAAUAUCCACAGUCCUUCAACACAGACACAGUCCUCUCUGAUGAGGACAUUAUAAUAUCCAGUCCUUCAACACAGACAUAGUCCUCUCUGAUGAGGACAUUAUAAUAUCCACAGUCCUUCAACACAGACACAGUCCUCUCUGAUGAGGACAUUAUAAUAUCCAGUCCAUCACAGACACAGUCCUCUCUGAUGAGGACAUUAUAAUAUCCACAGUCCUUCAUCACAGACACAGUCCUCUCUGAUGAGGACAUUAUAAUAUCCAGUCCUUCAUCACAGACACAGUCCUCUCUGAUGAGGACAUUAUAAUAUCCACAGUCCUUCAUCACAGACACAGUCCUCUCUGAUGAGGACAUUAUAAUAUCCACAGUCCUUCAUCACAGACACAGUCCUCUCUGAUGAGGACAUUAUAAUAUCCACAGUCCUUCGUCACAGACAUAGUCCUCUCUGAUGAGGACAUUAUAAUAUCCACAGUCCUUCAACACAGACACAGUCCUCUCUGAUGAGGACAUUAUAAUAUCCAGUCCUUCAACACAGACAUAGUCCUCUCUGAUGAGGACAUUAUAAUAUCCACAGUCCUUCAACACAGACACAGUCCUCUCUGAUGAGGACAUUAUAAUAUCCAGUCCUUCAACACAGACACAGUCCUCUCUGAUGAGGACAUUAUAAUAUCCAGUCCUUCAACACAGACACAGUCCUCUCUGAUGAGGACAUUAUAAUAUCCAGUCCUUCAACACAGACACAGUCCUCUCUGAUGAGGACAUUAUAAUAUCCAGUCCUUCAUCACAGACACAGUCCUCUCUGAUGAGGACAUCAUCACAAAGCCACUUCACCUCAGCUCUACUCUGCCUCAGCACAUUUAGUUUCUAAUCAUCCAAUAAUCUGAUAGAACAAAACCAAGUAGACAUUUUUGCUCUAAAAUCCUCUUUACAUCCAUUUUCAAAUAAAAAGCACCAUUGUUUUGCUGUGAGGAUAUACAUUUCACAGCAGCUGUACCAAGGAAUAGCACCUAAUAACUUAUUAUGUUGACAUCUCAUAUUUUGAUAGAUGCCAUUUCUCUCCCCCCUCUCCUCUUCCCCUCUUCUCUCCCCUCCCCUCCUCUCUCCCCUCUUCUCUCCCCUCCCCUUCUCUCCCC
Molecule: long non-coding RNA, 5214 nt
Organism: Oncorhynchus tshawytscha (Chinook salmon)
Lineage: Eukaryota; Metazoa; Chordata; Actinopteri; Salmoniformes; Salmonidae
Source: Ensembl